AUACGUAGGUGGCAAGCGUUGUCCGGAUUUACUGGGUGUAAAGGGCGUGUAGCCGGGUCUGCAAGUCAGAUGUGAAAUCCGCGGGCUUAACCCGCGAACUGCAUUUGAAACUGCAGGUCUUGAGUAUCGGAGAGGUCAUCGGAAUUCCUAGUGUAGCGGUGAAAUGCGUAGAUAUUAGGAAGAACACCAGUGGCGAAGGCGGAUGACUGGACGACAACUGACGGUGAGGCGCGAAAGCGUGGGGAGC
Molecule: ribosomal RNA, 247 nt
Filed under: uncultured bacterium
Lineage: Bacteria
Description: partial 16S ribosomal RNA
Rfam family: Bacterial small subunit ribosomal RNA
Source: RNAcentral